CUCUGGCCUGAUGUUUUAUUCCUCUUUGUGUUUCAGGAAGACGUGGAGACUCGCAGCAGGAAGAUCUUGUUCAAGCCUGUAAGAGAUUGGAGCAACAUCCGCUGCUUUAUAAUAGCAGGUGUGGCCGGGGCUCAGCAAACACAGGGCCAGUCGAGGCGUUUCACAACCAUGGAUGUUGAUGAGGAGGAGAACAUGAGUGAGUGCUCGAGUCUGAACCCCAAACCCUCCAUUCCAGCACAGAGCCCUGCACACUCCCCUUA
RNAcentral lists this long non-coding RNA (260 nucleotides) under Sinocyclocheilus anshuiensis. Its description in RNAcentral is "lncRNA (ENSSANG00000047433.1)". Lineage: Eukaryota; Metazoa; Chordata; Actinopteri; Cypriniformes; Cyprinidae. The record is from RNAcentral.